CAGCCGUAAACUAUGCUCGCUAGGUGUCAGGCAUGGCGCGACCGUGUCUGGUGCCGCAGGGAAGCCGUGAAGCGAGCCACCUGGGAAGUACGGCCGCAAGGCCUGAAACUUAAAGGAAUUGGCGGGGGGAGCACAACAACGGGUGGAGCCUGCGGUUUAAUUGGACUCAACGCCGGGACAACUCAACCGGGGGACGACCAAGGCAAUAUGUAGGCCAGGCUGAAGACCUUGCCUGAAUCGGCUGAGAGGAGGUGCAUGGCGUAGACGUCU
This 270-nucleotide ribosomal RNA is filed under the name uncultured archaeon. RNAcentral's name for it is "partial 16S ribosomal RNA". It matches the Rfam family "Archaeal small subunit ribosomal RNA", at positions 748 to 1009 of the family's 1478-position model. The record is from RNAcentral.